UCACAAUUUACAUUUAAGCAACUAUAUACACAUGCAAAAGACCUUGACUAUCAGCGGAGUGACUUUGGGUAUGGGUACCGCUAUUGGAUGCCAUGGUACCUACCAAAUGGCGAAUACAAAUGGACACUUCAAUCUAGGUCUUAACUACCUCCGAAUCUGAAAACAUGAAGUUAAAAAAAAUGAGUACAAACCCAGUGAGUGAACAUAGGAAGGGAACAAGCAAACGAUAAGGAAAGUUUAGAAAUCAUGAUGCACUUAUGUUAAAAACAAUGCAAUUUAGUUUAUUUCCUCGUAAAACCCCUCAAUUCUACCUUUGGUUAUUUAACCCCUUAGUGUUGAAGGAUCCAUGAUCCAUAAUGAAAUCGAAAAGUGAAAACCACAGUAAAUAUUCGAGCACGACAAGCAAGACAGAGAGUUUUUUCGUUGCAUUGAAAAUCAAUUUGGAAACAAUUAACAAUUUCAACAUUCAACAUUCAUUGCAAUCACAUAAUAUUUUCUCUUACAUUUCUAUGGUAUGUGUAAACAUGUCUACAACCACCAGCUCAUCAGCUCAUGUGCACUCCCACACCGCACAUAGCGUGACACCCAGUACCUUUGUAUAUAAAUCAAUAUGACCUUAUCGACGAGACAAAUGGUCAAUGGAUGCUGAUUUAAGUGCCAAAAAAUGGAGACGGGUGAAAAGAGUAUUUUAAGAUAAAACUUUCCACACAUGAAGAAAUAAUAAGAAAAAUAAUAAUAUUUUUGUCACGACCCAAUUCUCGGGCCAUGACCGGUGCAUGGGCCUAAUGGACAUAGCCCACUAAGCCCAAGCAAGCCUAUCUAUGUGACUCCAUUUAUCGAUUUCAUCAUUCAUUUUUACCACUGUAAGUCGAAGUUCUUACUAACGAGUAUGUCAAAACUUUUCUAUCGAAACCAUAGAUUCACCUUUAUAUGAUUCAAAAUAAUAUCAUUCGUGCCAUUACAUAGUGGCAACAUUAAACAAUAUAAACGUCUAUUGCUUAAGACAUAUACACGUCUUAACAAUUUACAUCAGGGCACGUGUGUUCAACAAAAAAGACUCUAGACUUCCAGCAGAGCAACCAUAGCGAAGGUGCAGCUACUAAAUGCCAUUGAUACCUACCAAAAGAUGGAUAUAAGUCUACGAGGACACCUCGUCCUAGUUACCGGUUACCUCUUGAUCUGAAAACAUGAGGUUGAAAACGGUGAGUAUAAACUCAGUGAGUGAAUAUAAGAAGGGAACAAGCAAACGAGAAGAAAGAAUUUGGAAAUCAUGAUGCACUUGUUUCAAAAACAAUGCAAUUGAUUUAGUUUCUUACUAAAAACCCCUCAUUUUAAACUUUGAUUAAUAACCUCAUAGUGUUGCAAAAAUCCAAGAUCAAUCUAUAAAGUUAAAUGGGUGAAAAAUAUGUCAAAAUCAAGCAAGAUAGCAAGCAUGGCAGCAAGUUUCUCACUGCAAUGAAGUUCAUUCUCACUGCAGCGAGAUUCAGGUGGCCAAAACAAAAAAUUUCUCACUGUAGCGAGAAAUAGUGUUAGUUUGCAUAUGUUUCAGUUUUUCUAUUAUAUCUCCCACUACAGAAGUCCAAUUGACCUGAUUUUUGAACCAUUAGAAAGAUAAGAGACAGGGAUACAACUUUGGUGUUUAUCACUUUUCCCAUUUCAGACGGGAAGGUGGUCAAAAUUCUCAUUGAAGUGAAAGCACUGCAUCAAAACCUGAGAGUUUCUCACUGCAGCCAGAUUUAUUCUCGCUGCAGUGAGUUGUUGGCUGCCAAAACAUAAUGUUUCUCACUACAGCGAGAAGCAAAGCACCUAAGUGUAAAAAAGACCUCCUUUACACUAAAAAUUCAUUUGGUGUUGCAAUAAAAAUCAAUUUGCAAGAAAAUGGGAAAUUCUCAAGAUCCAUCAUGCCAAAUUUCACAUGCAUUACAACCAUAAACCAUAUUCAUGAGAUUUCUAUACCACACACAAUUACAUAUACAUACAUCAUCAUCAUGUGUGCACUCCCUACUCGCACACUCCAUCAUCAUCAUGUGUGCACUCCCUACUCGCACACUUCAACAUCACCAACCAACAUCAUUCAUCAUUACACAACACAUAUUCAUAAGAUAUAUACACACCUACCAACAUAAUAUAAAGCAUACGAAUUCAUCCUUAUACACAUAUCACAUUUCACAAUAUCAAAAACAUUUAAUCAAGGCUUGUUCCUUGGCACACAUUUGCAAAGAAAAGUUAGAUAAAAUCAUUCAAAUAUCUUGUGCAAACACAUUUGCAUUCCCAAAACAAGUUUGAAAUGGAAGUCCACUCACCGGUAUUUCGUUGAACCUUUAGUCGAUUCUAACUUCCCUAAUGGUCCAAACAGGAUGGUGGGGCUUCGUUGGAACCUAUCAUCACAUUAACAUCACAAUUAAUUCAAUUCUCAUAAUUACAAGUUCUACAAGCUAUCACCUACUAGUUUCCAAGUGCCAUUAAAUGGCUAUCCAUUUUCACUAUCCUAAUCGCUCCAAAGUGAAUUUCCAACCUCAACUACCAAAACACCCACAAGUCUAAACACUAAUAAUUUUCAACACUAAAAAUCAAUUCAAGUUCACUACUCACCUUGGUAGCUUUGUGAUUGAAAUUCUUUCCAAAAACUUUCAAACUAUUAAUAAAGCUUCCUCUUUCUCUCUCUAAAACACCUAACUAGUGAGAGAGAGUAUGGAAAUAAUAUUUUUUUCAAGGGUUUUAAAGAGAAAGAGUGGAAGAGCAUAAGGAUUUGUGAAAAGGUGCACCAAAAGCAUGAAAAGUGGAGCUAUUUUGAGGGA
Molecule: long non-coding RNA, 2798 nt
Filed under: Theobroma cacao (cacao)
Lineage: Eukaryota; Viridiplantae; Streptophyta; Magnoliopsida; Malvales; Malvaceae
Description: long non-coding RNA (TCAC_LNC003779)
Source: RNAcentral